RNAcentral lists this ribosomal RNA (430 nucleotides) under Pseudomonadota bacterium. RNAcentral describes it as "Proteobacteria bacterium partial 16S ribosomal RNA". It matches the Rfam family "Bacterial small subunit ribosomal RNA", at positions 355 to 776 of the family's 1533-position model. Lineage: Bacteria; Pseudomonadati; Pseudomonadota. The record is from RNAcentral.
UGGGGAAUAUUGGACAAUGGGCGGAAGCCUGAUCCAGCCAUGCCGCGUGUGUGAAGAAGGCCUUUUGGUUGUAAAGCACUUUAAGCGAGGAGGAGGCUCUUCUAGUUAAUACCUAGGAUGAGUGGACGUUACUCGCAGAAUAAGCACCGGCUAACUCUAUGCCAGCAGCCGCGGUAAUACAGAGGGUGCGAGCGUUAAUCGGAUUUACUGGGCGUAAAGCGUGCGUAGGCGGCUGAUUAAGUCGGAUGUGAAAUCCCUGAGCUUAACUUAGGAAUUGCAUUCGAUACUGGUCAGCUAGAGUAUGGGAGAGGAUGGUAGAAUUCCAGGUGUAGCGGUGAAAUGCGUAGAGAUCUGGAGGAAUACCGAUGGCGAAGGCAGCCAUCUGGCCUAACACUGACGCUGAGGUACGAAAGCAUGGGGAGCAAACAGG